Molecule: non-coding RNA, 73 nt
Organism: Rhamnusium bicolor
Lineage: Eukaryota; Metazoa; Arthropoda; Insecta; Coleoptera; Cerambycidae
Source: the annotation of a GenBank genome assembly
GCUUCAUGGUCGAGUGGUAAAGACACUUGCCUUUUAUCCUGGAAUCUCGGGUUCGAUCCCUGGUCGAGGAGCU